CCGCGACCCCAGGUCAGGCGGGACUACCCGU
Molecule: ribosomal RNA, 31 nt
Filed under: Veronica chamaedrys
Lineage: Eukaryota; Viridiplantae; Streptophyta; Magnoliopsida; Lamiales; Plantaginaceae
Description: partial 28S ribosomal RNA
Source: RNAcentral